RNAcentral lists this transfer RNA (122 nucleotides) under Opeltia flavorubescens. RNAcentral describes it as "tRNA-Val (AAC) (tRNA-Val-AAC-1-1)". The record is from RNAcentral. Lineage: Eukaryota; Fungi; Ascomycota; Lecanoromycetes; Teloschistales; Teloschistaceae.
GGUCGGAUGGUGUAGUUGUUAGUCUACCGCCUCCAAUCAUCGACUUAAGUACUCACAGUAUACAGGGUUAUCACGUCUCCUUAACACGGAGAAGGUCCCGGGUUCGAGUCCCUGUCUGAUCA